Molecule: long non-coding RNA, 1153 nt
Organism: Tetranychus urticae (two-spotted spider mite)
Lineage: Eukaryota; Metazoa; Arthropoda; Arachnida; Trombidiformes; Tetranychidae
Source: RefSeq, a predicted model, not a curated record
UAUCAUUUGUAAAUUGAAAGACAUCUGGAGAAAUAUUUUCAAACGAAAUUAGUCUUAACCUUGAUUAUAAUAAGUUAGCUAUUAAUUGGGACAAUUAAAAACAAUAGUCAAAUUGAAAAAAUAAGUUGAUUCAGUAUCUAUUUGUUAAGGUAACAGUUUAUCGAUAGUACACUUUGGACUAAUUCACUAUCAGAUCCUCAGCUGAUUUUAAAAUCUUGAUUUAUUUUUCUUGUUUUCAAUUUGAUUUUGUGUAAAUUAAUUCUUCUUUUAUUCAUGGAUUUUGCUCAACAAUUAAUACUGUUAUCAAUUUGGACUUUUGUUGGUAGUUGGAGUUAGUAUUGUAAUUGUAACUUGUAAAUACCUGUUGACUGUGAUGAGCUAAGCUGGCUUCUUGUUAAACAGAUUAAUGUGAGAAAGGUUAAUAUUUUUAAUCUCAUUGCUGAUGAUUUAAAUUUGACUAUGGUUAUGAUGAUGAAGACUCUUGUCAGAAAUGAUUAUCCGAAAAGGUUAUCUUUUCUUCCUUUGAUUCACUAAAGAUGCUGGGAUAAAUUUUAACUACACCAAGACACAACUAACUCAUGAUGACAGUGAAUCAAAGGAAUGAAAAUCAAGAACCAAAUCCAGGUUAAGAUGAAAAUGAACGUAACACUUGAAUCAAAGUAGAGAUGGGCACAAAAUAAUUCCUUGGUCAGUGACGAGAUGAACCCAUUUCACGUUUGGUUGACAAGAUGACAAUGGCAAUUAAUAACUUCACAAGCGGUGAUUCACUUCGCGAACAAUUGAACUUAACAGUUGCACGUUAAUAAAAAGUGUAAAACUGUGUUGCGAUCGCAAAUGUAAAUUAUUGUUCACAAAUAAUAAUAAUAUCCAACUUACAGGCAAUUCACAGUAAACAGUAAUAACUAACUGAGUAAAAGCUAAGAAUAUCAAUAGUCGAUGAAUAUCAGUUGGUCAUUAGACAUUUAGACAAGACACUAGAGCAAACUGUUUGCAGUCAAUUAUUAUUAAUUGUUACAAGUUGAGCUAUUAUUAUUGUAUUUGGUACUGUGUUGCUGUGUUACAAUUGCUUAAUGUUGGUUAUGUUUUGAUCAGUACAAAUGAUAGCAAAUAAGUAAACGGAAAUUCUGUAAUAAACAUUAGUUCGGUAAGUUAA